Molecule: long non-coding RNA, 222 nt
Filed under: Elaeis guineensis (African oil palm)
Lineage: Eukaryota; Viridiplantae; Streptophyta; Magnoliopsida; Arecales; Arecaceae
Description: long non-coding RNA (EGUI_LNC044321)
Source: RNAcentral
AAAGGAUCAUCACGGAAGAUAGUAAUCAAUUCAUUCAAGAUCGGUGCACAGAUCAUCUCCCUUUAGGAUAGAUGAGUCUCAAGUCUGUAGUAUAAAGACGCUGGGGUGAGAAUGUAGGUGGUUGUUAAAGAACAACUUGUAUUGAGUGUGACCAACACGAGAAACCACUUGGAUAUCUACUCACUCGUCAGUGGUCUUCUCAAUGUUGUAGUGGUGUGACUG